AUGCAUACUUCUCCUUUCAUUGUUGUUGGAAACGUUUCUAAGAUCCCUGUAGCUGCUACCGGCACCGCACGUAUCAUUGAUAGCCCCUUCCAUCUCAACCACAUCCUAUACUCCCCUCACAUCAUUACAAAUUUAAUUUAUGGUCGUCGCUUCACUCGAGAUAACCUUGUUACUGUUGCCUUUGACCCAUUUGGCUUCUCUGUGAAGGACUUGGCAACGGGGACAACUCUGAUUCGGUGCAAUAGUUCAGGCGAGCUUUAUCCUUUCCACUCCAAUAAUGGCAGUGCACGGGACACUCAGGCCCUCUCCGUUCUCGAAGACGGCGACAUAUGGCAUCUCCGAUUAGGGCAUCCUAGCCACGCCUCACUUUCCAUUUUAGCUAAAGAUUUCCUUCCUAAAUGUAAUAAAUCGCCAAUUUCAUCCAUAUGUGGAUCUUGUAAAAUUGGCAAGCAGCCCAGACUACCUUUUCCUACAUAAAACUCAUUUACUACUGCUCCUUUCCAAUUGCUUCACUAUGAUCUUUGGACUUCACCCGUGUGUAGUUUCUCUGGAUUCUAGUACUAUUUGGUUGUAUUGGACGAUUAUACCCACUAUUCCUGGACCUUCCCAUUACGAUGCAAAUCAGACGCCUCCUCGACCCUCCAAUGUUUCUUUGCGUUUGUCCAUACAAAUACAACACUCCCAUACGCUGCCUACAGUGCGAUAAUGGCGGUGAAUUCCUGUCCUCCUCCCUACGCGAAUACUUCUCUCAUACCGGUGUGUCUUUCCGUCUCUCUUGCCCUCACACAUCACCACAGAACGGGAAGGCCGAGAGACUCAUCCGUACAACAAAUGACAUCAUAUGCACACUCGUUGUCCACGCCCACAUGGCUCCUAAAUAUUGGGUGGAAGCCUUGCAUACUGCAACUCACCUCUUAA
This 918-nucleotide ribosomal RNA is filed under the name Triticum aestivum (bread wheat). Its description in RNAcentral is "partial small subunit ribosomal RNA". The record is from RNAcentral. Lineage: Eukaryota; Viridiplantae; Streptophyta; Magnoliopsida; Poales; Poaceae.